GAGCUGGUUGCCGUGGUCAAUGAACACCCUCAUGGACCUGUUGACACCCUUCAGGUACUGUGUGCGGUAGAGGUGCUGGCGGUCUUUGUCCCAGGCCACUGCAUGCUCUGGCCGGGCCCCAGGACAGGAGAUGAUGAGUCCAUGGCCCAGUCUCUGCUGGUGGAACUGAAUGGGCACCUGGGGCACCCAGGGCCGGCUGCCCACUUUGGACACAUAGUUAAUGAUGGCCAGCACGCCCUCCCGGAUGGUCUUUGUCUUCUCACAGGGUACUAAGCAGCUCCGAACCAGCACCUCAGGCGUGUGGUCCCUGGCCUUGGUCCGCAGCUUCCUUGGCACAGCCCUUGAGCCACAAGACACCACAUCGGGCACGGCCUUGAGGUAGCGUGGGGAGAGGUCUGGGCUCUGCAGGUAGCAGAGGCCGAUGCGCCACUGCUCCCCACGCACUCCGCAGCGGUCACAGGGGGUCCAUUCCCAGAAGGUGGUGAAGACAUGGAGGUGCCCAUAGUAUUCAUCUGCAAAGGGCUCCUGGCCCUUGUCCUGGAAAGUGGCCACCAUUCCCUCACUGUUCUGGAUGUCCACAUCGUAGGCGUAAAAGUAGUCCCCCUUGCGGGUGCCGCAGAAGUACAGGCCUGAGUCCUCAGACUGAGCCCUGAAAACCAACAAGCUGAACAUGCGGAUGCUGAAGCGGGUCAGCAUGUCGCUGCCCACACGUACCUGGGCUGCCUCCGUCAGCACCCGCCCAUCAAAGUCCGUCAGCACUUUGGUGUGGCUGCUACCUAGGUGCUUUUGGUAGAACCAGACUACAGCUGGCACCUCUUCGGGUUUGCAGUGACAGGGAAGCUCAAAGCUCAUGUCGGCCAGGUAGGCUGCAUUUUCAAACAUCAGGAAAGCAGGGCAGGGGGUCCUCUGAAAAAUGUUUUCCUUCUCCACAAUUUCAAAGGCCUGGAGCCCCCAUGCCCACAGGAGCACAGUGGUGAGGGCCAGGUGCAUACCUGAAGGAGGCAGGGGUCAGAGGGGCAGGGCAAAACCAGGGCAUUAAAGGCUCAUAGGGCUCCUAGAAAGCUCUGCUAAGCGGAAGCCUCUAGAUGAGGAAAGGAUUAUGCAGCCAGGAAAAGCAGCAACAAUCUGCAGAGGAAGCCGCCAAGUGCAAGGCAAUUUAUUCCCAGUGGAUGUACAAGAUGCCCUUCUAACAUUCCAGACCUGAUCUCAGGGUGGGGGGGGAAAGCCAUUCUAGAACCUGGCCUUUACUCCCCUUUCUAGAACACUGGCGCUCACCCAAGAAUGGGUCAAAGGAAACCGGAAUGAGAAGGGCGGGCCGAGGUGCUCGGGCAGGGAGAUCUCUGCCUCAGUGCUCCAGGCCCUGCCCUGCCAGCCUGGUGGAAAAGUCUUUCAUCAACCUGGGGGAUGAAGGAAACCCACCCUCCUGCAUAUCUGGCCAUCCGGGAGGCUGGCUGGACCUGAGCUGAUGGCUUGGGACUUUCCCAGGCCCAACCUGCACAAGAACUGAGUCUCUAGGGGAAAAUUCAACACCUCAAAUGAUGUAGUAUUUGAUCAUUUGUUGAUUACAUGUCCAUUCAUUGGUUUGGGGCUAUAAACAUUCUUGUUAAGAGCUGUGGAGAUCAGUGUUUGUUUACCAUAAAGAUUUUGCUUUUUCCCUUUUAUGAGUGGAGGCUGUAACUGGUAUAGCCAGCAUUUGGUUGGGCACACACUCAUCUCUCAAGGCCAGUGGGCUAGAGGCUUGGCAGACUCUAAGGGUGGGAAACAAAACC
RNAcentral lists this long non-coding RNA (1769 nucleotides) under Homo sapiens (human). RNAcentral describes it as "non-protein coding lnc-GFAP-1:3". Lineage: Eukaryota; Metazoa; Chordata; Mammalia; Primates; Hominidae. The record is from RNAcentral.